AUAGCUUUAUUGUCGGGUAUAAAUACCCUCAGGACUCGAUAGCGUAAAAGUAAUGCAUAAUCAUUCAUUCAUCAUCACAAUCAUUCAUGUAUCAUCAUAAUCAUUCAUGCAUCAUCAUAAUCAUUUAAAGCAUCUUCCUAAUCAUUAACACAACUCUUCAAGUAAUUAGGAAUCACAAACGUCUAUUCAUCAUCAUAGUCGCCAA
Molecule: long non-coding RNA, 205 nt
Filed under: Capsicum annuum
Lineage: Eukaryota; Viridiplantae; Streptophyta; Magnoliopsida; Solanales; Solanaceae
Description: long non-coding RNA (CANN_LNC017099)
Source: RNAcentral